UUUGUCUCGCUUCGUAUCAAUUAAUUUUCCCCAACCCAAUAAUUUCAACGGCACCGUUUUCUCCAUACCCAUCAUCGAUCCUUCUUCUCAGAACUUCAGAAUCAAUGUUAUCAUAUGCAGGUGGGUGUGAUUAUUUAGUUAGUUGAAGGUUGGAGAUUGAAGAAGAUGUUUGAAUCACACAAAGAAAUUCUCUUUGACGAGCUUGGUGCCUCACAAAACACAAGGUGUUGAGCUUGCAGCUGUUCCUCCUGUGAAAAACACUGCUUCUUCUACUGCUGCUGCUUCUGGCUCUGGCUCUGCUGGAGCUGGGAAGCAACGUUUGCGAUGGACUUCUGACCUUCAUGACCGUUUUGUUGAUGCUAUCACCCAGCUUGGCGGACCAGAUAGUUGGUAUUUUCUUUUUUUAUUGUAUUGUAUUCUACUUUUUGCUAUAAAAAAAAGGGGAUAGUUACAUAAGAAAGUCCCCGGAGACUCUCUCCCUCUCU
Molecule: long non-coding RNA, 485 nt
Organism: Quercus robur (English oak)
Lineage: Eukaryota; Viridiplantae; Streptophyta; Magnoliopsida; Fagales; Fagaceae
Exons: 2
Source: RefSeq, a predicted model, not a curated record